RNAcentral lists this ribosomal RNA (419 nucleotides) under Cathaica ottoi. Its description in RNAcentral is "partial large subunit ribosomal RNA". It matches the Rfam family "Archaeal large subunit ribosomal RNA", at positions 1944 to 2688 of the family's 2987-position model. The record is from RNAcentral. Lineage: Eukaryota; Metazoa; Mollusca; Gastropoda; Stylommatophora; Camaenidae.
GCUAUUUCUGCUCAUGAUUUUAUUAAAUAGCCGCAGUACUUUGACUGUGCAAAGGUAGCAUAAUCAAUUGACUUAUAAUUGAGGUCUGGAAUGAAAGAAAAUAUGGGGGUAGGCUGUCUCAUUUAAAUUGUUUUAAUUUAAUUAAUAAGUGAAAAUGCUUAUAUUUAAAUAAUAGACGAGAAGACCCUAGAAAUUUUUAAAACAUAUAACGUAUGGUUUUUGUUGGGGCGACAAAGUAACAAAUAACUUACUUUUUCUUAUAAGAAUAUUAUAUUAAGAAUAAUUAAAUUACUCUAGGGAUAACAGCAUAAUAUUAAAAAGUUUGUGACCUCGAUGUUGGAUUAGGACUAUUUAACCCAAAAGGUAAUAAUUUUUGCUCUGUUCGAGCAUAUAUUCCUACGUGAUCUGAUUCAGACCGG